CUUCUUACGUUGCAGAGUCAUCUUUCUAUAUUCUGGCACUGAUGUUUAUGAGAUGGAGAAGAGCAGAGUGCAGUUUCUGGAGAACUCAGCAGCCCCAGCUGGACAGCAUUGCCACCUACCGGCAGAUAUUCCAGCACCGACCAACCAGGGAACAGGCAGCAGCUUCCUAACCAGGCCUCUCGGGACAAAUGCAGAUUCCUCACUCUCACACCACUGUUCUGUCACCCCUAGGACAGCUCACGCAUGGAGAGCAAAGUGAGCACAAGUGAUGUUAGCCCUGGUGUUCAGUGCCUGAGAGGAAGAUGGCACAGCAGCCAGCACGCUGGCAUGGGAGCAGCUGCCAUCAUGGGCACGAGGUGCCUCUCAGGCUGCGUGGUGAUGCUGCUCUUCAGGCUGCCCCAAAGGGCUCUCAGGGGCUUCCUUAGACCCCUCAGACAACACUGCAUCAGUCACACUCCUGAAGCACAAUUCAACACUGAAAUUGAACAGGCAGGGAGAAGAAAAUACCUGUUGCCAACAGGCAAAUAAAUCUCGGUCUCUGCAUUGGACAGUAAUUUUGGUGAUUAAUUUUGUCCAGAGAUGGAACUAGGCAGAUGGCUGCUUGCCAAUAAUUUUAAGAAGCAGGUCCUAAAAACUCAUCACCCUACAGCUUGAAAUAUAACCAAGUGCAAACUGGAGGAUUCUCAAGUGUGCCCAGGACCUCAUUCCUUCAGGAAAGCCCACUAUGACAUAAAAUCCAGCCAUUCCACAGAGUCCUCAAAUGACAGAGGAGGUCCCAGCCUUGAGUGUUGAACCAGAACUUUGGAAACUUGUUUCUAAAUACACAUAGCAAAGACCCACACAGCAAAGACAAUGAGGAGAGUGUUCAAUGCAUGAAAGGACAUCAGAGCUCCACCAGCCAUCACGGUCCUUGCCCACACCAGGAAACCUUCAGUGAUUGACCCCAAGGCAAGUCAAUUCAGCCUCUCUGACCUCUGUUCUUCCCCUGCAUGUAGCUCACUCAGUUUUUCCUGCUGCAGAGGAUGACUGAGAAUGAUACAUUCCUGCAGCAUGAAACCCCAAGUACAUCCAAACAGCAAAACCUGCCCAAGUUUAACCAUACUGAACUGUUACCAAAAUGGCAGGCCCUGCUCAGUUCUACAGGAUGAGACACCUUAGUUCCAUGGAGCCAGGUACUUCCAAGCCAAAGUGGCAUUUAUCAAUAUUUCCUCAGCUUUUCAUCUCUGCUAUGUUUUUGUGUGGGCAAAAGAAUAAAGUUCAAGCCAACUCUAAAGGAAAUGAGUAACAAAGGAUUGCACUGCCCACAGGAACUGGCUAAGGUAGAAUAUUUUAAACAGUGCCAAGGAUGAUGGGCAUGGCAGCAGCAGCUCAGAGAAUGUAUCCUUCAUCUCCUUCCCACAACACUGACUUCUGCUUCUGAAAAUUCUGCUGCUAAAAAAAAUUCAGUUGAGUUCUGCAUGACUCUCAGAAUGGAAAAUGGUGCAGAACACAGAAGCCUUCCCACCCGGCUCAGUGGUGCACCUGCCACAACAGGGAUCUGAAGCCAAACUUUAGUGAAAGGCAGCUUCAAAGAUACUCAGUCCCAAGAAGAAGCACAAGGUCUCAGAGCUUGUGAGCAAAGAUGGAGAAGGGAAGGAAGCAACAGGACUCAAGCCUCUUCAGAAACCUGAGAGCCCAAACGGAGAUGGGUAGAACAGAAAAGGAGGCUUACAAAAGCAGCAACUGCUGGGAAGUUCCAGAGAGCACUUGUAACUGACUGGGCAGGAGAGAAUAAAGCAGAAUUACUGCCACAAAGUUUAAGCAGCUUGGCUUUGUGAAAGAAAUGAUAGCUUAGAAAUAAAUGCUGCCACAGAAAUAUUUUAAAGCAUACCCAGCAUGUCAAGAAUAAUAAAGAGAAAAUGUCUCUGUCCUGAACACACACACCAAAAAAAAAAGGGUUUGUUUUUUAAGAAUAAAUAGUUUGACUUAUUUUUGUACCAUGAGAGACAACUACCAAAACCCUAAAGGAAGAAGAGUCCGUAUCAUAUUACUAAAGGCCCUUGGCCUUUUCCCUACUAAUGCACAACCGGGCAGGAGUUUUCACGAUCUUGAAACAAAAAGCAAAUUAUUUAAACUAAGUAUGAACAUUCCAACCAACACAGUUGUUUACAACUGUGAUCUCUGGGUUUCCCAUUGCUAUUUUCUUUGCACCUUCCAAAUUUCUACUCCCUACCCCGCACCAAGUCUUCCAAAAUUACACUAUCUUUACACAGAAUGUAAGCUAGGGAAUGGGAAGGAUGCUGUUUUCUAGAAGUGUGUUUGGGAUUAAGCCUGUUAUGCAAAGUCCAGAGACAAAAGCUGCUUAUCUGGGCAAGAUGCUUUGACAUCACUAGCUAUAAAAUAGCAAAGUAGCAUAAAUCAAAGCAUAAUCCCCAUGAUAAAUAAAAGGGGUUUUCCUGUUUGGUUGGUUUCCCCCCCCCCCCAGUGACAUUUCAGUACAGUGCUUUUAAAAAAAUCCUUUUGAUUGUUGAAUUAAAAGUCAAGGAAACUCCAUUUCUUACCUAUGUUUUUUCAAGUUUUAUGUUCGUAAGAAUGUAUGGAGUUUCUCUGCUGGAUCAGGGCUUUAGUCUCUAAAGAGUUACAUCUCUGCAACAACUACAAAAUGCUUCACAACAAAAGAAAACCAAGGAAAGGAGAGGAUUCUAGCAUCUCAGAAAGUUUCACACAUUAAAACAGUAAUAAAAUUAUCCCUUGAGCAAUGGUACAAAUCUUCAGGAUUACUUCAAAACACUGUAGCAGACACAGACACAAUUUUCCAUUUGCUCUUUAAUGAACUCCCCCCACUCUCACUGCUGUACACUUAAUGUUUUUGUCAAAGUCAACUCCCCUCGAGGCCUUCCUUCAGGCAUUCCUAAACUGUAGCUCCUGAGGAGCACCAGCUUGACGAGUGAUUCAAGUGAACUCCCACAGCAGGGUUACGUACAGAGGGGCCUGCUGCGUAACCAAGAGUCAAGGUGUGGAAGGAAGAGUGCAGGCACUGAGCAAUUGAUCACAGCUGGCACACCCAGGCUGUGCUGGGCUCCUGCAGCCUGUCCAGCCCUGUCUCAUCUCACAGAGAAGUCACUGUCACUGCCUGCCUCAACACCGUUCCACAGCUCUUUCUCCAUCAGACUAAGGUAUGUCGAUGGUACGUGUCUUGCUGCACUUCAAAGAGAAAGACUGGAUACACGGCUCACAGGAUCAGAAAAGCAGGCCACAACUCCAGAGCUUUCAGUCCAGGAACUGCAGCUCCAGAUGUGGGGGGUAAACAAUCUAUUAUGAACUGAACAACUGAUUCAGAUAAACAACCAAAACCAGAGACCUUUCCUGCUUCUAUUUUAGGAUAAAAAUAAUUUGCUACCAUUAUUGCUCUAGAGUAUUUUGCUGUUACACUUUCUAAUGAGAGAGAGCAAUAAACUGUCCAGAGAAAUACCACAUCUUGAGUUCUGAAAGAAAACAACAUAUUAGUGAAUGAACUUUCAAAAAAAAAAUCAUUUAUGUAAAAGGAUGCUCUAUUUACAAAGGUCAGUUUGCUCUUCAUGAUACACAUAACCACUACCAGAAAAAAAAUACAUAAAAGAAACACCUCAUCUUUAAAAUAAACAUUUACAAAUACUCUGCUUAAACUACAAGAAAAAUUAAGACAUUUGAAAUUAAGAGUGCAUUCUGCAUGCAGUUAAGACAGAAAUUACAUUGCUGGACUUCAGUGUGUCAUUUCUUAUCAUUGUGAACAACACACACUUGAGCUUUUCUAAAACACCACAGCCAAUCUAUUACCUUAGGAUCUCAAAAUGAGGACAUGGAUCUCCAUUAACAAGUUAUUAGCUACUCUGGUGUU
Long non-coding RNA from Passer domesticus (house sparrow), 3856 nucleotides. RefSeq lists it as uncharacterized. NCBI's taxonomy places the organism in Eukaryota, Metazoa, Chordata, Aves, Passeriformes, Passeridae. The record is from RefSeq and is a predicted model, not a curated record. The transcript is spliced from 4 exons.